RNAcentral lists this unclassified non-coding RNA (3677 nucleotides) under Hevea brasiliensis (rubber tree). Lineage: Eukaryota; Viridiplantae; Streptophyta; Magnoliopsida; Malpighiales; Euphorbiaceae. The record is from RNAcentral.
GCUAAUUUGGAACUUGUGCUUGAGCUGUAUGAGAAAAUGUUAGCUGUCCAAAAGGUCAGAUUUGGCGUAUUUCCCUCCUUUUUUGUUUAUGUACAAUUACAAAAUUUUCUUGGAUUUUUUUUUCCUGUUUGGCUUCUGGGAAAAUUUUCUUUGUUAAGAAAGUUGGUUUCUUCACUGCAAUUUUUUGAUGAUUGUUUGGAAAUUUUGCCGUCGCUCUUAUUUAGAUGAAUACACUGUUUGAAAGAUUCCAUGGUCCAGCUUCUUUCUUUCUUUCUUUGUUUUGAUUUCCGUUUUAAUGUAGAUUCCGCAACGACAUGUUUUAAUUGUGACCUACCAUUUGUAUGUUGAUUACACAUUGUUUAGAAAUGGAGUUUCCAAUCAUUUAGAGGGCUGCUUGCAACUGCUUCUCAUUGUUGUUUGGCAAGUGCAUACUCUUUUAGGUGAAUGUUCCAGUAUGCUACAUCCCUGCUGGCUCUUAAAAAUGGGAAAUAAGUUUGAGCAGCCUGCAAAUCUAUGAGCUUGAUGCUACACAGUUGAAUUUAGAGGUUCACGUUGCUUAUGGUUUUCUCGUCAACUAGUGUCUGUUGCACCAAUGGGCACUAGAGCCAAAAGGCAUGUUGGUUUCGCAUAAAAAUAAGGAGAAAAAAAAAAUUAUAUGAAGAAUGGUAAUUAACUAGAUAAAAAUUAAUUUGCUUCUCAGUUUUAUCUAAUUGUCACUUCCAGAUAGCAGGAAGUUGAACGGCUUCGUGGGGAAAGGAAUGUUGUAGCAAACAAGAUGAAAGGAAAGCUAGAGCCAUUGGAGCGCCAAAAACUCGUAAAGGAAGGAAAGAAUCUGAAGGAUGGACUCAUUACUUUGGAAGAAGACCUGCUAAAACUUUCCGAUGAGCUUCAGCAGGAAGCACAAUGUAUACCCAACAUGACCCAUCCUGAUGUUCCAAUUGGAGAGGAAGAUUGUUCAACAAUGAGAAAGAUGGUGGGUAGCCCACAUGAAUUUAGCUUCCCUGUCAAAGACCACCUUCAGCUUGGGAAAGAACUAGAUCUCUUUGAGUUUGAUGCAGCUGCAGAGGUACUCACUCUGUUUAGUUUAAGGUAUUAAAGCAUUUCCUAUAGGCAUUUACUGGACUAUUAAUAAUUGUAACAUAAAAGUUAAUGAUAUAGUUAGGCAUAUAUUGUGUUCUUUCUGUUGACAUUGUUGCAACUGCCAUUUUUCGCAUUAAGUUGGCUUGAAUUGUUUUUUAACCAGAACAGUAAUACGAGUUUGAUAUUAAUUGGUCAAGAAAGUGACCGACUUAAGCCUCACAUGGUUUAAUUGGUGUUCUUCAGUGUUAAUGGCAUUUAAUUGAAAUAAGAUCACCAUAAAAUAUGAUUGAGCUUUUACCAUAUUGAUGACUGCAGCACAAUUUUGGUGUUCUUGGACAAAUGCUUAUUGCAAGUUGCAGCUUUAUUCUCAUACAAGAUUUUUACUUCUUUUGCUCUGAAUCAAAGCUUCAAUAAAAUUUCAUUGGUUUUAGCUACUAAGUCUCUGGAUGGAUUCUGUUUCACAUGCAUUUAAUACUUUGCUUGCCUGUCCAGGUUAGUGGAUCAAAAUUCUAUUAUCUGAAGAAUGAAGCAGUUAUGCUAGAGAUCGGCCUUAUCAAUUGGACUCUCUCUGAAGUCAUGAAAAGGGGCUUUACACCUCUAAUAACCCCGGAACUUGUGAGAUCUUCGGUUGUUGAAAAAUGUGGCUUCCAGCCUCGUGGAGAUAAUACCCAGGUUUGUGGCCAUUUGGUUUUUAUUACCUUUAUUUUUAUCUUAAUUUUUUACUUAACAGGAAUGGUCAAAUAUGAAGCUCAUAAAAAAGCUAUCUUUAAAUAUUUUGGCCAUAAAGUGGAAGCAUUAUGGUUUGGAUCUUUUAUGCCCUUGCUUUAGGGUCUAGGUUCAGUGAUGAAGAGCCAAUCAAACAGAGAGUGCUCGAGUCCUUUUUAUUUCUAGAUUGUGCAAAGUUAAGGCAAUAUGAUGAUUUGGUGACACUUGACAGGUUUACUCUGUUGAGGAAAGUGAUCAGUGCCUGAUUGGUACUGCAGAGAUUCCUGUGGGAGGAAUUCAUAUGGAUUCUAUCCUUGUGGAAUCAAUGUUGCCAUUGAAGUAUGUGGCAUUUUCCCAUUGCUUCCGUACAGAGGCAGGUGCUGCAGGCGCAGCUACAAGGUAUCUGAGCAUUAUUCAUUUCAUUGCAGAGACCUAAUUUUGUUUUAAGAAUUUCCCAACAACAAUAUAUUGCCCCAACUCUCUAAAUCAUUUUUGGAUGUUUAUCAACAUGAGACAUGUUUGCAUUUUGAUUUUUCAUUUAUCCAACAUGUUUUUAUGAGAUAAUCUAAGUCUUGAAUGUCAGCCUCAUUUGCUGGGAGUCCUACAUUCAAAAAGUUUUGAUUGCACACACAUGGUCUAUGUUAUCUUCAGCUAUUGCUGAUAAAUUAUUUUGGGCUUCUGUAUUAGUUUCCAUUACAAGUGACAAAAUCCAUUCAUCCAUUGGUCAUGAUUCUUCUAUCACAAUCUCUUGAUUUUUUUUCCUGUCUUGGGGAAGGCUUUUGUGCCACUAAACACAUGCCAUUUGUCCACCUGCUGUGGUAUGGAAUUUAUUGCUCAUUAAAUGAAAUAAUGGCAUUUCUGGGCAGGGGCCUUUAUCGAGUUCACCAGUUCAGCAAGGUGGAAAUGUUCAUUCUAUGCCAGCCAGAGGAGAGUGAAUCUCAUCAUGAAGAGCUUAUCAAAAUUGAAGAAGAACUUUUCUCUUCGUUGGGUUUACAUUAUAAGUAGGUGGUCCUGCCAAUCUUCAUUAAGUCAGACUAUUUUGUUUUGCCAUGUAUCUGUUUAACAUUUGGUUGUCGGGCAGAACUAUAGAUAUGGCUUCAGGAGAUUUAGGUGCACCUGCUUACCGCAAAUUUGAUGUAGAGGCAUGGAUGCCUGGCUUAGGACGUUAUGGUGAGGUAUGGAAUUAUAUAUUUUGCUCGUCUUUCUCCUCCAAGAAAUCAUUUCCUGUGGAUUUAGUCUGCUUUGCAUCUAUUUCUGAUUAAUAGUUGCCUGCAGUGCAAUGUUGAAACAUUUAAUUCUCUAACAAUGGUGUUUUCUUCAACAGAUAUCAAGUGCAUCCAAUUGUACAGACUAUCAAAGUCGCCGACUAGGAAUUCGAUAUCGUCCAUCAGAAUCAUCAACAAAUCCUAAAAAGAGUAAAGGCAAACUUGCUCCGACAAAGUUUGUUCACACGUUAAAUGCAACAGCUUGUGCUAUUCCACGGAUGAUAAUAUGUUUGUUGGAGAACUACCAACAAAAAGAUGGUUCUGUCGUUAUCCCUGUGCCACUGAGGCCGUUCAUUGGAGGGCUGGAACGUAUAGCUCCUAAAUUCCCACAGGAUGAGUAGAUUAUUUUGUUUGAUUUUCAGUUGGGAACUAUAUUUGGAGCUAAAAUUAUUGACAAAUUUUUACAUUUUAAUGCAUUUGGCUACAAAGAGAACUGAAAAAUGUCAAAAUUUGUCAUUACAAAAGAAUAAGCAUUUUUGUCCUGCAGGAAAAUGUCUUGCACUGCUUUGCAAUUGUUUGCAUGUGAUGGGGGUGAGUGAUGGCGUAGCAAUAGCGGGCAGUCACCCCCACUAUUUCGCACCGUGAAUGUACGGAUAUUGUAGAAUUAAACCAAAACUUGACUUGCUU